This 515-nucleotide ribosomal RNA is filed under the name uncultured bacterium. Its description in RNAcentral is "partial 16S ribosomal RNA". It matches the Rfam family "Bacterial small subunit ribosomal RNA", at positions 28 to 523 of the family's 1533-position model. The record is from RNAcentral.
GAUGAACGCUGGCGGCGUGCCUAAUACAUGCAAGUCGAGCGAAUGGAUUAAGAGCUUGCUCUUAUGAAGUUAGCGGCGGACGGGUGAGUAACACGUGGGUAACCUGCCCAUAAGACUGGGAUAACUCCGGGAAACCGGGGCUAAUACCGGAUAACAUUUUGAACCGCAUGGUUCGAAAUUGAAAGGCGGCUUCGGCUGUCACUUAUGGAUGGACCCGCGUCGCAUUAGCUAGUUGGUGAGGUAACGGCUCACCAAGGCAACGAUGCGUAGCCGACCUGAGAGGGUGAUCGGCCAGACUGGGACGGAGACACGGCCCAGACUCCUACGGGAGGCAGCAGUAGGGAAUCUUCCGCUAUGGACGAAAGUCUGACGGAGCAACGCCGCGUGAGUGAUGAAGGCUUUCGGGUCGUAAAACUCUGUUGUUAGGGAAGAACAAGUGCUAGUUGAAUAAGCUGGCACCUUGACGGUACCUAACCAGAAAGCCACGGCUAACUACGUGCCAGCCGCCGCCGUAA